Molecule: small RNA, 699 nt
Filed under: Pongo abelii (Sumatran orangutan)
Lineage: Eukaryota; Metazoa; Chordata; Mammalia; Primates; Hominidae
Description: processed transcript
Source: RNAcentral
GUCGCACUCUCCUUGAGGCGGCGGUUACCGGCCACAACCCUUGGCGGAGCCUGCCUGCAGGCCUCCCGAGGAACCCAGACAGCUGCAGCCGCAGCUCCCCGUAUCAAGAAAUUUGCCAUCUAUCGAUGGGACCCAGACAAGGCUGGAGACAAACCUCAUAUGCAGACUUAUGAAGUUGACCUUAAUAAAUGUGGCCCCAUGGUAUUAGAUGCUUUAAUCAAGAUUAAGAAUGAAGUUGACUCUACUUUGACCUUCCGAAGAUCAUGCAGAGAAGGCAUCUGUGGCUCUUGUGCAAUGAACAUCAAUGGAGGCAACACUCUAGCUUGCACCCGAAGGAUUGACACCAACCUCAAUAAGGAUUUGAGCAACUUCUAUGCACAAUACAAAUCCAUUGAGCCUUAUUUGAAGAAGAAGGAUGAAUCUCAGGAAGGCAAGCAGCAGUAUCUGCAGUCCAUAGAAGAGCGUGAGAAACUGGACGGGCUCUAUGAGUGCAUUCUCUGUGCCUGCUGUAGCACCAGCUGCCCCAGCUACUGGUGGAACGGAGACAAAUAUCUGGGGCCUGCAGUUCUUAUGCAGGCCUAUCGCUGGAUGAUUGACUCCAGAGACGACUUCACAGAGGAGCGCCUGGCCAAGCUGCAGGACCCAUUCUCUCUAUACCGCUGCCACACCAUCAUGAACUGCACAAGGACCUGUCCCAAG